Molecule: long non-coding RNA, 415 nt
Filed under: Fukomys damarensis (Damara mole-rat)
Lineage: Eukaryota; Metazoa; Chordata; Mammalia; Rodentia; Bathyergidae
Description: lncRNA (ENSFDAG00000033165.1)
Source: RNAcentral
GUGCCUUAAACUGCAGGGGUGUCCUAGCUCUAUUUAAUUGCUUGAUGGCAUCUCUGUGUCCCAGGCUUCUAGAAGCUCCGCAAGAGCAGGCAGCCAGCCGAUCUGGAGCCUGGAACCGAGAGUGCUUGAUACCGUUUGUCAACUAUCCUGGAAUCUAGACCUGAUUACGACGUGCAGCCCGGGGAUUAGUCAACGGCCCUCACCUUCCGAAAGGACCAGAAAGCUGAGCUCCAGGGGACUUUGGCAAGAAGAAAACAACACAAGAAACUUAAUAAGACAGGGGCAAAAGAUGCAGCUCAAUCAUAGAGCACUUGCCUCGCAUCGCAAGGCCCUGGGUUCUACCCGCAACAGCAAAACCAAACACAAACAAGAAGAGGUCAAUGGAAUUGUACACUAGAAGCCCAGAGGUAGGUGG